RNAcentral lists this ribosomal RNA (207 nucleotides) under uncultured bacterium. RNAcentral's name for it is "partial 16S ribosomal RNA". It matches the Rfam family "Bacterial small subunit ribosomal RNA", at positions 568 to 774 of the family's 1533-position model. The record is from RNAcentral.
CGCGCAGGCGGCCAGGUCAGUCGAAUGUGAAAGCCCCCGGCUCAACUGGGGAAGGUCAUUCGAUACUGCCUGGCUUGAAGAUAGGAGAGGGAAGCGGAAUUUCAGGUGUAGUGGUGAAAUGCGUAGAUAUCUGAAGGAGCACCAGUGGCGAAGGCGGCUUUCUGGCCUAUUCUUGACGCUGAGGCGCGAAAGCUAGGGGAGCGAACG